This 466-nucleotide ribosomal RNA is filed under the name uncultured Exiguobacterium sp. RNAcentral's name for it is "bacterial SSU rRNA". It matches the Rfam family "Bacterial small subunit ribosomal RNA", at positions 338 to 795 of the family's 1533-position model. The record is from RNAcentral. Lineage: Bacteria; Bacillati; Bacillota; Bacilli; Caryophanales.
CCUACGGGGGGCUGCAGUAGGGAAUCUUCCGCAAUGGACGAAAGUCUGACGGAGCAACGCCGCGUGAGUGAUGAAGGUCUUCGGAUCGUAAAACUCUGUUGUUAGGGAAGAACAAGUAUCGUUCGAAUAGGGCGGUACCUUGACGGUACCUAACCAGAAAGCCACGGCUAACUACGUGCCAGCAGCCGCGGUAAUACGUAGGUGGCAAGCGUUAUCCGGAAUUAUUGGGCGUAAAGCGCGCGCAGGCGGUUUCUUAAGUCUGAUGUGAAAGCCCACGGCUCAACCGUGGAGGGUCAUUGGAAACUGGGAAGCUUGAGUGCAGAAGAGGAGAGUGGAAUUCCAUGUGUAGCGGUGAAAUGCGUAGAGAUAUGGAGGAACACCAGUGGCGAAGGCGACUCUCUGGUCUGCAACUGACGCUGAGGCGCGAAAGCGUGGGGAGCGAACAGGAUUAGAUACCCGAGUAGUC